This 383-nucleotide long non-coding RNA is filed under the name Pan troglodytes (chimpanzee). RNAcentral's name for it is "long non-coding RNA NONPTRT002511". Lineage: Eukaryota; Metazoa; Chordata; Mammalia; Primates; Hominidae. The record is from RNAcentral.
GAGAGAUGAAUGUAGCCACCAGCUGUCUGUUUUUUUCUUUAGAGGGGCAGGGAGUCAUUCAACCUAAGAAUUUUUCCUUGCUGUCUUGCAUAUCCCAACAGGCCUCCCUUCAUUCUUACAGUGUGACUGACCUAAAUUCAAAAUAUGAAGAGGACCCGUGGGCUAAAAGGAAGAAGAUUAUGGGCAAGUACUGCAAGAACUGGCAACAGUCUCAUAUUAUGUGGACAACUCUACAGUGCAUGUUUGUUUGGGCUCUCCCUUUUCCCUGCUCCAAACUCCCUGUCCCUGACUUUUGCUUACUGGGUCCAGUCCCCAGUAGAGUAGCUGCUCUUAGGCUUUUGUCUUAGGAGAACUCAGGGGAACACAUGGCCUAUGCUCUGGCA